UGUAGGGUCCGGAGAUUAUGAAAAAGGCGGGCGGCCUGCAUGGUUUUAUGAACUGGGGCAGAAACCUCCUUACUAUAUGCUACAGACCUUGUGGUAUGUGUAGCUUUGGGCUGUGAUAUGUUUGACUGUGUCUUUCCAACAAGGACAGCUGUAAGUAUCCCCUUAACUGUACCGUACGCUUUAGCACCUUAGGUUUCAGGAAUCAUUAGGGGGCUGGAACGUAGUAUUAUUUAUGGUAUGUAAUGUUUUCUCUUUUAGAAUUACAUUUCCUCUUUGCCAAUUACCAAAGCAGGGAUGGCCCUUCCAGACUUCUAUAC
Molecule: long non-coding RNA, 317 nt
Organism: Xenopus tropicalis (tropical clawed frog)
Lineage: Eukaryota; Metazoa; Chordata; Amphibia; Anura; Pipidae
Exons: 2
Source: RefSeq, a predicted model, not a curated record